Non-coding RNA from Podarcis lilfordi (Lilford's wall lizard), 73 nucleotides. Lineage: Eukaryota; Metazoa; Chordata; Lepidosauria; Squamata; Lacertidae. The record is from the annotation of a GenBank genome assembly.
GCAGGGAUAGCUCAGCUGGUAGAGCCAGAGACUCUCAAUCUCAGCAUUGUGGGUUCGAGCCCCGCAUUGGGCA